RNAcentral lists this ribosomal RNA (2200 nucleotides) under Shigella sonnei. RNAcentral's name for it is "partial 23S ribosomal RNA". It matches the Rfam family "Bacterial large subunit ribosomal RNA", at positions 474 to 2659 of the family's 2925-position model. Lineage: Bacteria; Pseudomonadati; Pseudomonadota; Gammaproteobacteria; Enterobacterales; Enterobacteriaceae. The record is from RNAcentral.
UCCUGACUGACCGAUAGUGAACCAGUACCGUGAGGGAAAGGCGAAAAGAACCCCGGCGAGGGGAGUGAAAAAGAACCUGAAACCGUGUACGUACAAGCAGUGGGAGCACGCUUAGGCGUGUGACUGCGUACCUUUUGUAUAAUGGGUCAGCGACUUAUAUUCUGUAGCAAGGUUAACCGAAUAGGGGAGCCGAAGGGAAACCGAGUCUUAACUGGGCGUUAAGUUGCAGGGUAUAGACCCGAAACCCGGUGAUCUAGCCAUGGGCAGGUUGAAGGUUGGGUAACACUAACUGGAGGACCGAACCGACUAAUGUUGAAAAAUUAGCGGAUGACUUGUGGCUGGGGGUGAAAGGCCAAUCAAACCGGGAGAUAGCUGGUUCUCCCCGAAAGCUAUUUAGGUAGCGCCUCGUGAAUUCAUCUCCGGGGGUAGAGCACUGUUUCGGCAAGGGGGUCAUCCCGACUUACCAACCCGAUGCAAACUGCGAAUACCGGAGAAUGUUAUCACGGGAGACACACGGCGGGUGCUAACGUCCGUCGUGAAGAGGGAAACAACCCAGACCGCCAGCUAAGGUCCCAAAGUCAUGGUUAAGUGGGAAACGAUGUGGGAAGGCCCAGACAGCCAGGAUGUUGGCUUAGAAGCAGCCAUCAUUUAAAGAAAGCGUAAUAGCUCACUGGUCGAGUCGGCCUGCGCGGAAGAUGUAACGGGGCUAAACCAUGCACCGAAGCUGCGGCAGCGAUGCUUAUGCGUUGUUGGGUAGGGGAGCGUUCUGUAAGCCUGCGAAGGUGUGCUGUGAGGCAUGCUGGAGGUAUCAGAAGUGCGAAUGCUGACAUAAGUAACGAUAAAGCGGGUGAAAAGCCCGCUCGCCGGAAGACCAAGGGUUCCUGUCCAACGUUAAUCGGGGCAGGGUGAGUCGACCCCUAAGGCGAGGCCGAAAGGCGUAGUCGAUGGGAAACAGGUUAAUAUUCCUGUACUUGGUGUUACUGCGAAGGGGGGACGGAGAAGGCUAUGUUGGCCGGGCGACGGUUGUCCCGGUUUAAGCGUGUAGGCUGGUUUUCCAGGCAAAUCCGGAAAAUCAAGGCUGAGGCGUGAUGACGAGGCACUACGGUGCUGAAGCAACAAAUGCCCUGCUUCCAGGAAAAGCCUCUAAGCAUCAGGUAACAUCAAAUCGUACCCCAAACCGACACAGGUGGUCAGGUAGAGAAUACCAAGGCGCUUGAGAGAACUCGGGUGAAGGAACUAGGCAAAAUGGUGCCGUAACUUCGGGAGAAGGCACGCUGAUAUGUAGGUGAAGUCCCUUGCGGAUGGAGCUGAAAUCAGUCGAAGAUACCAGCUGGCUGCAACUGUUUAUUAAAAACACAGCACUGUGCAAACACGAAAGUGGACGUAUACGGUGUGACGCCUGCCCGGUGCCGGAAGGUUAAUUGAUGGGGUCAGCGCAAGCGAAGCUCUUGAUCGAAGCCCCGGUAAACGGCGGCCGUAACUAUAACGGUCCUAAGGUAGCGAAAUUCCUUGUCGGGUAAGUUCCGACCUGCACGAAUGGCGUAAUGAUGGCCAGGCUGUCUCCACCCGAGACUCAGUGAAAUUGAACUCGCUGUGAAGAUGCAGUGUACCCGCGGCAAGACGGAAAGACCCCGUGAACCUUUACUAUAGCUUGACACUGAACAUUGAGCCUUGAUGUGUAGGAUAGGUGGGAGGCUUUGAAGUGUGGACGCCAGUCUGCAUGGAGCCGGCCUUGAAAUACCACCCUUUAAUGUUUGAUGUUCUAACGUGGACCCGUGAUCCGGGUUGCGGACAGUGUCUGGUGGGUAGUUUGACUGGGGCGGUCUCCUCCUAAAGAGUAACGGAGGAGCACGAAGGUUGGCUAAUCCUGGUCGGACAUCAGGAGGUUAGUGCAAUGGCAUAAGCCAGCUUGACUGCGAGCGUGACGGCGCGAGCAGGUGCGAAAGCAGGUCAUAGUGAUCCGGUGGUUCUGAAUGGAAGGGCCAUCGCUCAACGGAUAAAAGGUACUCCGGGGAUAACAGGCUGAUACCGCCCAAGAGUUCAUAUCGACGGCGGUGUUUGGCACCUCGAUGUCGGCUCAUCACAUCCUGGGGCUGAAGUAGGUCCCAAGGGUAUGGCUGUUCGCCAUUUAAAGUGGUACGCGAGCUGGGUUUAGAACGUCGUGAGACAGUUCGGUCCCUAUCUGCCGUGGGCGCUGGAG